CUGUGCAAUGACAGCACGAAUACACCAGUUCCCAAAAGAUCACUGGAGUUAAGCUAUGUUGGACGUGGUCAAUAUCCGGAUGGGUGGCCAACUGUGCAAUCACGUGUUACACUGG
Molecule: ribosomal RNA, 115 nt
Filed under: Diaphorina citri (Asian citrus psyllid)
Lineage: Eukaryota; Metazoa; Arthropoda; Insecta; Hemiptera; Psyllidae
Source: RNAcentral